RNAcentral lists this non-coding RNA (32 nucleotides) under Mus musculus (house mouse). The record is from RNAcentral. Lineage: Eukaryota; Metazoa; Chordata; Mammalia; Rodentia; Muridae.
UGCACUUUAUGGCCAUGCCAAAUUCUAUAUGG